RNAcentral lists this ribosomal RNA (443 nucleotides) under Shigella flexneri. Its description in RNAcentral is "bacterial SSU rRNA". It matches the Rfam family "Bacterial small subunit ribosomal RNA", at positions 1 to 440 of the family's 1533-position model. The record is from RNAcentral. Lineage: Bacteria; Pseudomonadati; Pseudomonadota; Gammaproteobacteria; Enterobacterales; Enterobacteriaceae.
AAAUUGAAGAGUUUGAUCAUGGCUCAGAUUGAACGCUGGCGGCAGGCCUAACACAUGCAAGUCGAACGGUAACAGGAAACAGCUUGCUGUUUCGCUGACGAGUGGCGGACGGGUGAGUAAUGUCUGGGAAACUGCCCGAUGGAGGGGGAUAACUACUGGAAACGGUAGCUAAUACCGCAUAACGUCGCAAGACCAAAGAGGGGGACCUUCGGGCCUCUUGCCAUCGGAUGUGCCCAGAUGGGAUUAGCUAGUAGGUGGGGUAACGGCUCACCUAGGCGACGAUCCCUAGCUGGUCUGAGAGGAUGACCAGCCACACUGGAACUGAGACACGGUCCAGACUCCUACGGGAGGCAGCAGUGGGGAAUAUUGCACAAUGGGCGCAAGCCUGAUGCAGCCAUGCCGCGUGUAUGAAGAAGGCCUUCGGGUUGUAAAGUACUUUCAGC